This is a long non-coding RNA of Passer domesticus (house sparrow), 1456 nucleotides long. RefSeq lists it as uncharacterized. NCBI's taxonomy places the organism in Eukaryota, Metazoa, Chordata, Aves, Passeriformes, Passeridae. The transcript is spliced from 2 exons. The record is from RefSeq and is a predicted model, not a curated record.
CUCCCUCCUGACGGUGGCAAUGGCAGGGUUACAGCUGGUGGCACCUCAAACAGCACAGACCCUCCCCAAAGGAAUCCGUUCAAGAAGGUCUUAAACGACCCCCUUUCUAAAAAUUAGGGGGAAGGCUGCUAAAAAUUAGGUUUACUCAUCAAAAAUUGGGCUCCUUUGUUAAAAACGAGGGGUUUUGGUAAAAAACAGGGUCCCUUGCAGGUGCCUUGGGGAAAUGGCAACCCCGGACCACACGGCUGCAGGAAGCCAGACUCCAGGCAGGGUUAUGAGGCAGGGAGAGGAAAAUCCAUGGGAGCAGAGGAUGGGUUCUGGGGAAUACUUCUGGCAGGGGGCUGGGGGCCAUCCUGCACAAAAUUAGCUGGUCAUGCCUCAGUUUCCCCUUUCCUCAUAGCCUGUUGCAUCCUCCUGCAUCCCUCCUCAGGGCUUUGGUUGGAAACACCAGGAAAUUUGGGAAAGCAGUGAUGCCAGAAGGGAGGAAAGCCCCACCAAGACCAAACCACUCUAACCAUUCCCCUCCUGCCACAUCCCACCAGAGCAGCUGGACUCGGCACCAAGUUCAACGGGAAAAAAAGAAAAACGUGGGAAAAUGAAAUGAGGUGGAAAUGAGCUGGCAUUGGAUGAUCCAGGGCCAGCAGAUGUGGGGGAGAAGCCUUUGUGUUGCCCCACGAGCACUCAAAGGACUUAAAGGAGUUUUGGGGGGCUUCUUUGGAAGCUGUAGAUUCAGGGGGGAGGAAGCUCAUCCUGUGCCAUGGCUCCACGAAGUUGCUCAGGUUGUUUUACCAUUGUGAAAGAUAAGGAUGGGUCCAAGGUGGAAAUGAUAUGUCCAGGGUGGAAAUGUUAUAGCCAGGGCUGGAAAUCCUAUAGCCAGGGGAGAAAUCCUAUAGCCAGGGGCAGGAAAUCCUAUAUCUGGGAAAGAAAUCCUAUAUUCAAGAGAGAUAUCCUUUAUAUGCAAAGGUGGGGGAGAACAACCUAUAUCCAGGGGAGAAAUCCUAUAUACAGGUGGGAGAAACCUAUAUCCAGGGGAGAAAUACUAUAUCUGGAGAUAGGGAAUGCUAUAGUCAGGGGAGAAAACCUAUACAUGGAGGGGCAUCUCCUAUAUCCAGGCGAGAAAUCCUAUAUCCAAGAGAGAAAUCCUAUAUUAGGAGAGAGGAAAUCCUAUAUCCAGGGGAGAAAUACCAUAUACAGGUGGAGGAAAUCUAUAUAUGUGGGGGCAUUUCCUAUAUCCAGGGUAGAAAUCCUAUAAUCAGGGAAGAAAUCCUAUAUAGAGGCGGCAGAAACCUACAUCCAAGUUGAGAAAUCCUGUUUAUAGGUAGGAAAAAACAUACAUUCAUGAGAAAAAUCCUAUAUCCAGGGGAGACAUCCUAUAUUCAGGGAAGAAAACCCAUAAACAGGGGGCCAUACCCUAUAUUCACAGGAGAAAUCCUAUUUCCAGUGGAAAAACACCAUA